GAUGAACGCUAGCUACAGGCUUAACACAUGCAAGUCGAGGGGCAGCGGUAUCGAAAGCUUGCUUUCGGUAGCCGGCGACCGGCGCACGGGUGAGUAACGCGUAUCGAACCUGCCUCAUACUCGGGAAUAGCCUUGCGAAAGUAAGGUUAAUGCCCGGUGUUUUCAGAGUCCCGCAUGAGGCUUUGAACAAAGAUUUAUCGGUAUGAGAUGGCGAUGCGUCCCAUUAGCUUGUUGGCGGGGUAACGGCCCACCAAGGCAUCGAUGGGUAGGGGUUCUGAGAGGAAGGUCCCCCACAUUGGAACUGAGACACGGUCCAACUCCUACGGGAGGCAGCAGUGAGGAAUAUUGGUCAAUGGGCGGAAGCCCGAACCAGCCAAGUAGCGUGCAGGAAGACGGCCCUCCGGGUUGUAAACUGCUUUUAGUUGGGAAUAAAACGGGGCUCGUGAGCCCCCUUGCAUGUACCAUCAGAAAAAGGACCGGCUAAUUCCGUG
Molecule: ribosomal RNA, 491 nt
Filed under: uncultured bacterium
Lineage: Bacteria
Description: partial 16S ribosomal RNA
Rfam family: Bacterial small subunit ribosomal RNA
Source: RNAcentral